CCUACGGGUGGCAGCAGUGGGGAAUAUUGGACAAUGGGGGCAACCCUGAUCCAGCCAUGCCGCGUGUGUGAAGAAGGCCCUCGGGUUGUAAAGCACUUUCAGUGAGGAAGAACGCCUGGUGGUUAAUACCCAUCAGGAAAGACAUCACUCACAGAAGAAGCACCGGCUAACUCCGUGCCAGCAGCCGCGGUAAUACGGAGGGUGCGAGCGUUAAUCGGAAUUACUGGGCGUAAAGCGCGCGUAGGUGGCUUGAUAAGCCGGUUGUGAAAGCCCCGGGCUCAACCUGGGAACGGCAUCCGGAACUGUCAAGCUAGAGUGUAGGAGAGGAAGGUAGAAUUCCCGGUGUAGCGGUGAAAUGCGUAGAGAUCGGGAGGAAUACCAGUGGCGAAGGCGGCCUUCUGGACUGACACUGACACUGAGGUGCGAAAGCGUGGGUAGCAAACAGGAUUAGAUACCCCAGUAGUC
This 465-nucleotide ribosomal RNA is filed under the name Vreelandella stevensii. RNAcentral's name for it is "partial 16S ribosomal RNA". It matches the Rfam family "Bacterial small subunit ribosomal RNA", at positions 338 to 795 of the family's 1533-position model. Lineage: Bacteria; Pseudomonadati; Pseudomonadota; Gammaproteobacteria; Oceanospirillales; Halomonadaceae. The record is from RNAcentral.